GCGGCAGGCUAACACAUGCAAGUCGAGGGGCAUCGGGAGUAGCAAUACUGCCGGCGACCGGCGCAAGGGUGCGUAACGCGUGAGCAACAUGCCCGUAUCAGGGGGAUAAUCCAUGGAAACGUGGUCUAAUACCCCAUAGUAAUUAUGUAAGGCAUCUUAUAUAAUUUAAAGCUUUGGUGGAUACGGAUUGGCUCGCGUGACAUUAGCUGGAUGGUAAGGUAACGGCUUACCAUGGCUACGAUGUCUAGGGGUUCUGAGAGGAAGGUCCCCCCACACUGGAACUGAGACACGGUCCAGACUCCUACGGGAGGCAGCAGUGAGGAAUAUUGGACAAUGGAUGGAAAUCUGAUCCAGCCAUGCCGCGUGCAAGGAAGACGGCCCUAUGGGUUGUAAACUGCUUUUGUAUGGGAGCAAUAAGGGCUACGUGUAGUCCGAUGAGAGUACCAUACGAAUAAGCACCGGCUAACUCCGUGCCAGCAGCGGC
RNAcentral lists this ribosomal RNA (484 nucleotides) under uncultured bacterium. Its description in RNAcentral is "bacterial SSU rRNA". It matches the Rfam family "Bacterial small subunit ribosomal RNA", at positions 39 to 518 of the family's 1533-position model. The record is from RNAcentral.